UGGGGAAUAUUGCACAAUGGGCGCAAGCCUGAUGCAGCCAUGCCGCGUGUGUGAAGAAGGCCUUCGGGUUGUAAAGCACUUUCAGCGAGGAGGAAGGUGGUGGAACUUAAUACGUUCAUCAAUUGACGUUACUCGCAGAAGAAGCACCGGCUAACUCCGUGCCAGCAGCCGCGGUAAUACGGAGGGUGCAAGCGUUAAUCGGAAUUACUGGGCGUAAAGCGCACGCAGGCGGUUUGUUAAGUCAGAUGUGAAAUCCCCGGGCUCAACCUGGGAACUGCAUUUGAAACUGGCAAGCUAGAGUCUCGUAGAGGGGGUAGAAUUCCAGGUGGUAGCGGUGAAAUGCGUAGAGAUCUGGAGGAAUACCGGUGGCGAAGGCGGCCCCCUGGACGAAGACUGACCGCUCAGGUGCGAAAGCGUGGGGAGCAAAACAGGAUUAGGAUAACCCUGGUAGUCCACGCUGUAAACGAUGUCGAUUUUGGAGGUUGUGCCCUUGAGGCGUGGCUUCCGGAGCUAACGCGUUAAAUCGACCGCCUGGGGAGUACGGCCGCAAGGUUAAAACUUAAAUGAAUUGACGGGGUCAUA
This 582-nucleotide ribosomal RNA is filed under the name uncultured bacterium. Its description in RNAcentral is "partial 16S ribosomal RNA". It matches the Rfam family "Bacterial small subunit ribosomal RNA", at positions 355 to 923 of the family's 1533-position model. The record is from RNAcentral.